UACGUAGGUGGCGAGCGUUGUCCGGAUUUAUUGGGCGUAAAGCGCGCGCAGGCGGUGCGGUAAGUCCGCUGUGAAAUCUCCCGGCUCAACUGGGAGGGUGCGGCGGAGACUGCCAGACUAGAGGCACUCAGAGGCCGGUGGAAUUCCCGGUGUAGUGGUGAAAUGCGUAGAUAUCGGGAGGAACACCAGUGGCGAAGGCGGCGAUCUGGGAAGAUACUGACGCUGAGGUGCGAAAGCGUGGGGAGCAAACAGG
Molecule: ribosomal RNA, 253 nt
Filed under: uncultured bacterium
Lineage: Bacteria
Description: partial 16S ribosomal RNA
Rfam family: Bacterial small subunit ribosomal RNA
Source: RNAcentral